AGGACGAACGCUUGCGGCGUGCCUAAGAAAUGCAAGUCGAGCGGAUCAGGAGCAAUCCUGGUUAGCGGCGAACGGUCGCGUAACACGUAGGCAACCUGUCCGAGAGACCGGGACAACACUCCGAAAGGGGUGCUAAUACCGGAUGUGGCCGAGGGGAGUCAUCUUCCUUCGAUUAAAUCACUUCGGUGGCUCUUGGAGGGGCCUGCGGCCUAUCAGCUAGAUGGCGGGGUAACGGCUCACCAUGGCGACGACGGGUAGCUGGUCUGAGAGGAUGGUCAGCCGGACUGGGACUGAGAUACGGCCCAGACUCCUACGGGGGGCAGCAAUUAGGAAUCUUGCGCAAUGGGCGAAAGCCUGACGCAGCGACGCCGCGUGGGGGAGAAGUCCUCGGGAUGUAACCCUUUGACAAGGAAGAAUAAAGUGACGGUACUUGUCGAUAAGCCCGGCUAACUACGUGCCAGCAGCCGC
RNAcentral lists this ribosomal RNA (468 nucleotides) under uncultured bacterium. RNAcentral describes it as "SSU rRNA". It matches the Rfam family "Bacterial small subunit ribosomal RNA", at positions 26 to 518 of the family's 1533-position model. The record is from RNAcentral.